This 696-nucleotide ribosomal RNA is filed under the name Mesomycoplasma hyopneumoniae. Its description in RNAcentral is "bacterial SSU rRNA". It matches the Rfam family "Bacterial small subunit ribosomal RNA", at positions 45 to 726 of the family's 1533-position model. Lineage: Bacteria; Bacillati; Mycoplasmatota; Mycoplasmoidales; Metamycoplasmataceae. The record is from RNAcentral.
UGCUUAAUACAUGCAUGUUGAACGGAAUAUUUUAGUUCGCUAAAAUAUUUAGUAGCAAAUGGGUGAGUAACACGUACCUAACCUACCUUUUGGACUGGGAUAACCAUUGGAAACAGUGGCUAAUACCGGAUAUGAUAAAAAUUUGCAUGAAUUUUUAUUCAAAGGAGCCUUCAAGCUUCACCAAGAAAUGGGGGUGCGCAACAUUAGUUAGUUGGUAGGGUAAAAGCCUACCAAGACGAUGAUGUUUAGCGGGGCCAAGAGGUUGUACCGCCACACUGGGAUUGAGAUACGGCCCAGACUCCUACGGGAGGCAGCAGUAAGGAAUAUUCCACAAUAAGCGAAAGCUUGAUGGAGCGACACAGCGUGCAGGAUGAAGUCUUUCGGGAUGUAAACUGCUGUUGUAAGGGAAGAAAAAACUAGAUAGGAAAUGCUCUAGUCUUGACGGUACCUUAUUAGAAAGCGACGGCAAACUAUGUGCCAGCAGCCGCGGUAAUACAUAGGUCGCAAGCGUUAUCCGGAAUUAUUGGGCGUAAAGCGUCCGUAGGUUUUUUGUUAAGUUUAAAGUUAAAUGCUAAAGCUCAACUUUAGUCCGCUUUAGAUACUGGCAAAAUAGAAUUAUGAAGAGGUUAGCGGAAUUCCUAGUGGAGUGGUGGAAUACGUAGAUAUUAGGAAGAACACCAAUAGGCGAAGGCAGCU